AUGAUGGCUGUGGGAGAGACCCGAAAAGAGGGCGCCGAAGGAGCACGAGGGCUUACCGUGCUGUGGUAACCGUUUAAACUCUCAGGCAAAAGGACUGCGGCCAGACG
Molecule: non-coding RNA, 107 nt
Filed under: Desulforamulus aeronauticus
Lineage: Bacteria; Bacillati; Bacillota; Clostridia; Eubacteriales; Peptococcaceae
Description: Desulfotomaculum aeronauticum Glycine sequence
Rfam family: Glycine riboswitch aptamer
About the family: This family represents the bacterial glycine riboswitch. Glycine riboswitches usually consist of two metabolite-binding aptamers domains with similar structures in tandem.
Source: RNAcentral